CGCAUCUGUGCAUGCAGCAUAUCAAUAAGCGGAGGAAAAGAAACUAACAAGGAUUCCCCUAGUAACGGCGAGUGAAGCGGGAAGAGCUCAAAUUUGAAAUCUUAAAGGGUUUCCCUUUACGAAUUGUAGUUUAAAGAAGUGUUUUCUGUUGAGGUUUUGGUAAAAGUUCUUUGGAAUAGGACAUCAUAGAGGGUGAGAAUCCCGUAUUUGACCUUUACUUUCAACUUUGUGAUACACUUUCAAAGAGUCGGAUUGUUUGGGAAUGCAGUCCAAAAUGGGUGGUAAACUUCAUCUAAAGCUAAAUAUUGGCGAGAGACCGAUAGCGAACAAGUACCGUGAGGGAAAGGUGAAAAGAACUUUGAAAAGAGAGUUAAACAGUACGUGAAAUUGUCAAAAGGGAAGCGUUUGACACCAGUGUUGUUUUUCUGAAAAUCAAUUAAAGAACUGUUUAUGCUAAGUUGUUUAGACUUUAUCAGCUAACUGUUUAGUUUUGAGCUUUUCUUUAAUGCACUUUUCAGUUAACAAGUCAACAUCAAUUUCUUUUGCUGUAAAAAAGCUUGAGGAAGGUGGCUUGAGAUUCGUCUUAAGUGUUUAUAGCCUCUUGCCUAUGCAGUCGGAGAGAUUGAGGUCUGCAGCGUAGAUCCUUCGGGGCUAAAUGCAUUUGUGCUAAGUUAUAGCAUUUCAUAGACAACUUGUUGACUAUGAUUUGUCUUGUAGCUUACUCGCUUAUGUUAUUUUACCUACGCUUAGGAUGUUGACAGCAGUAUAGACUGU
RNAcentral lists this ribosomal RNA (774 nucleotides) under uncultured Neocallimastigales. RNAcentral's name for it is "partial large subunit ribosomal RNA". It matches the Rfam family "Eukaryotic large subunit ribosomal RNA", at positions 26 to 637 of the family's 3401-position model. The record is from RNAcentral. Lineage: Eukaryota; Fungi; Neocallimastigomycota; Neocallimastigomycetes; Neocallimastigales.